RNAcentral lists this ribosomal RNA (495 nucleotides) under uncultured bacterium. RNAcentral describes it as "bacterial SSU rRNA". It matches the Rfam family "Bacterial small subunit ribosomal RNA", at positions 15 to 518 of the family's 1533-position model. The record is from RNAcentral.
GAUCAUGGCUCAGGAUGAACGCUGGCGGCGUGCUUAACACAUGCAAGUCGAACGGAGCCUAGCGAGUGCUUGCACUUGCGAAAGCUUAGUGGCGGACGGGUGAGUAACGCGUGGGUAACCUGCCCUAUACUGGGGGAUAACAGUUGGAAACGACUGCUAAUACCGCAUAAGCCUACGGUGCCGCAUGACACAGUAGGAAAAACUCCGGUGGUAUAGGAUGGACCCGCGUCUGAUUAGCUAGUUGGUGAGGUAACGGCCCACCAAGGCGACGAUCAGUAGCCGGCCUGAGAGGGUGAACGGCCACAUUGGGACUGAGACACGGCCCAAACUCCUACGGGAGGCAGCAGUGGGGAAUAUUGCACAAUGGGGGAAACCCUGAUGCAAGCGACGCCGCGUGAGCGAAGAAGUUAUUUCGGUAUGUAAAGCUCUAUCAGCAGGGAAGAUAAUGACGGUACCUGACUAAGAAGCACCGGCUAAAUACGUGCCAGCCGCCGC